GGGUUGUGAGGUUAAGCGACUAAGCGUACACGGUGGAUGCCCUGGCAGUCAGAGGCGAUGAAGGACGUGCUAAUCUGCGAUAAGCGUCGGUAAGGUGAUAUGAACCGUUAUAACCGGCGAUUUCCGAAUGGGGAAACCCAGUGUGUUUCGACACACUAUCAUUAACUGAAUCCAUAGGUUAAUGAGGCGAACCGGGGGAACUGAAACAUCUAAGUACCCCGAGGAAAAGAAAUCAACCGAGAUUCCCCCAGUAGCGGCGAGCGAACGGGGAGCAGCCCAGAGCCUGAAUCAGUAUGUGUGUUAGUGGAAGCGUCUGGAAAGGCGCGCGAUACAGGGUGACAGCCCCGUACACAAAAAUGCACAUGCUGUGAGCUCGAUGAGUAGGGCGGGACACGUGGUAUCCUGUCUGAAUAUGGGGGGACCAUCCUCCAAGGCUAAAUACUCCUGACUGACCGAUAGUGAACCAGUACCGUGAGGGAAAGGCGAAAAGAACCCCGGCGAGGGGAGUGAAAAAGAACCUGAAACCGUGUACGUACAAGCAGUGGGAGCACGCUUAGGCGUGUGACUGCGUACCUUUUGUAUAAUGGGUCAGCGACUUAUAUUCUGUAGCAAGGUUAACCGAAUAGGGGAGCCGAAGGGAAACCGAGUCUUAACUGGGCGUUAAGUUGCAGGGUAUAGACCCGAAACCCGGUGAUCUAGCCAUGGGCAGGUUGAAGGUUGGGUAACACUAACUGGAGGACCGAACCGACUAAUGUUGAAAAAUUAGCGGAUGACUUGUGGCUGGGGGUGAAAGGCCAAUCAAACCGGGAGAUAGCUGGUUCUCCCCGAAAGCUAUUUAGGUAGCGCCUCGUGAAUUCAUCUCCGGGGGUAGAGCACUGUUUCGGCAAGGGGGUCAUCCCGACUUACCAACCCGAUGCAAACUGCGAAUACCGGAGAAUGUUAUCACGGGAGACACACGGCGGGUGCUAACGUCCGUCGUGAAGAGGGAAACAACCCAGACCGCCAGCUAAGGUCCCAAAGUCAUGGUUAAGUGGGAAACGAUGUGGGAAGGCCCAGACAGCCAGGAUGUUGGCUUAGAAGCAGCCAUCAUUUAAAGAAAGCGUAAUAGCUCACUGGUCGAGUCGGCCUGCGCGGAAGAUGUAACGGGGCUAAACCAUGCACCGAAGCUGCGGCAGCGACGCUGAUGCGUUGUUGGGUAGGGGAGCGUUCUGUAAGCCUGCGAAGGUGUGCUGUGAGGCAUGCUGGAGGUAUCAGAAGUGCGAAUGCUGACAUAAGUAACGAUAAAGCGGGUGAAAAGCCCGCUCGCCGGAAGACCAAGGGUUCCUGUCCAACGUUAAUCGGGGCAGGGUGAGUCGACCCCUAAGGCGAGGCCGAAAGGCGUAGUCGAUGGGAAACAGGUUAAUAUUCCUGUACUUGGUGUUACUGCGAAGGGGGGACGGAGAAGGCUAUGUUGGCCGGGCGACGGUUGUCCCGGUUUAAGCGUGUAGGCUGGUUUUCCAGGCAAAUCCGGAAAAUCAAGGCUGAGGCGUGAUGACGAGGCACUGCGGUGCUGAAGCAACAAAUGCCCUGCUUCCAGGAAAAGCCUCUAAGCAUCAGGUAACAUCAAAUCGUACCCCAAA
RNAcentral lists this ribosomal RNA (1619 nucleotides) under Shigella sonnei. RNAcentral describes it as "partial 23S ribosomal RNA". It matches the Rfam family "Bacterial large subunit ribosomal RNA", at positions 1 to 1653 of the family's 2925-position model. The record is from RNAcentral. Lineage: Bacteria; Pseudomonadati; Pseudomonadota; Gammaproteobacteria; Enterobacterales; Enterobacteriaceae.